Non-coding RNA from Paramuricea clavata, 238 nucleotides. Lineage: Eukaryota; Metazoa; Cnidaria; Anthozoa; Malacalcyonacea; Plexauridae. The record is from the annotation of a GenBank genome assembly.
CCCCUAAACACUAAUCACUACCCCCCAAACCCCUAACUACUAACCCCUAACCACUAACCACUAACCACUAACCACUAACCCCUAACCCCUAACCACUAACCCCUAACCACUAACCCCUAACCACUAACCCCUAACCACUAACCCCUAACCACUAACCCCUAACCACUAACCCCUAACCCGAAUCUAACUUUUUUAAACCUUUUUGAAAAUCUAACCUUUUAAUUAAACUUUUUUUUGC